RNAcentral lists this ribosomal RNA (250 nucleotides) under uncultured bacterium. RNAcentral's name for it is "partial 16S ribosomal RNA". It matches the Rfam family "Bacterial small subunit ribosomal RNA", at positions 524 to 776 of the family's 1533-position model. The record is from RNAcentral.
UACGUAGGGGCGAGCGUUGUCCGGAGUUACUGGCGUAAAGGGCGUGCAGGCGGUGCGGUAAGUUUAGCGUGACAGUCUCCGGCUUAACUGGAGAAGGCCGCUGAAAACUGCUGGACUUGAGGGCCAGAGAGGACAUAGAAUUCCGGGUGGAGUGGUGAAAUGCGUAGAUAUCCGGAGGAAUACCAAAGGCGAAGGCAGUGUCCUGGCUGGCAACUGACGCUGAGGCGCGAAAGCUAGGGGAGCGAACAGG